This 333-nucleotide ribosomal RNA is filed under the name uncultured eukaryote. RNAcentral describes it as "partial 18S ribosomal RNA". It matches the Rfam family "Eukaryotic small subunit ribosomal RNA", at positions 1470 to 1796 of the family's 1831-position model. The record is from RNAcentral.
CCCUUAGAUGUCCUGGGCCGCACGCGCGUUACACUGAUGCAUUCAACGAGCUUAUAACCUUGGCCGAGAGGCCUGGGCAAUCUUGUUAACGUGCAUCGUGAUAGGGAUAGAUUAUUGAAAUUAUUAAUCUUGAACGAGGAAUUCCUAGUAAACGCAGAUCAUCAAUCUGCAUUGAUUACGUCCCUGCCCUUUGUACACACCGCCCGUCGCUACUACCGAUUGAACGGUUUAGUGAGGGCCUCGGAUUGGUCUCGGCCCGCUCUUUACCGGGCGGCGCCGUUGGUCGAGAAGACGCUCGAACUUGAUCGUUUAGAGGAAGUAAAAGUCGUAACA